CAGUCGCCGCGGUAAUACAGAGGGUGCGAGCGUUAAUCGGAUUUACUGGGCGUAAAGCGUGCGUAGGCGGCUUUUUAAGUCGGAUGUGAAAUCCCUGAGCUUAACUUAGGAAUUGCAUUCGAUACUGGGAAGCUAGAGUAUGGGAGAGGAUGUUAGAAUUCCAGGUGUAGCGGUGAAAUGCGUAGAGAUCUGGAGGAAUACCGAUGGCGAAGGCAGCCAUCUGGCCUAAUACUGACGCUGAGGUACGAAAGCAUGGGGAGCAAACAGGAUUAGAUACCCCUGUAGUCCCUGUCUCUUAUAC
RNAcentral lists this ribosomal RNA (301 nucleotides) under uncultured bacterium. Its description in RNAcentral is "partial 16S ribosomal RNA". It matches the Rfam family "Bacterial small subunit ribosomal RNA", at positions 509 to 807 of the family's 1533-position model. The record is from RNAcentral.